Long non-coding RNA from Chinchilla lanigera (long-tailed chinchilla), 711 nucleotides. RefSeq lists it as uncharacterized. The record is from RefSeq and is a predicted model, not a curated record. NCBI's taxonomy places the organism in Eukaryota, Metazoa, Chordata, Mammalia, Rodentia, Chinchillidae. The transcript is spliced from 4 exons.
GUGGAACUGGGUAGCUCUCCUGGCUGGCGGUUCCCAGGGUUACAACCGGGGGCGGGGAUUCCCAGCUGCCUGAAGACGUUUUGCUGGAGUCGCGGGGUUCUAGGUGGAACUCGGAGUUGUCGCUGCAAGUGGUCGGUAUUUAAGACAACAUCUGCAACACUGGAGAGGAAGUAGAUGCCCUGGAAAAUAGAACUCAGCAGUGUAUCCCUGUGAAACUUGAGGGCUGGCUGCUUUGGAACAUUCAUGGGUAUUUUGGAAUCUACCGACCUCCAGGUUUCUGUGCCCCGCCUCUCCUGGCUUUCAGAAUUCCCAUACUAGGUUUGGUGAUUGGGACAGGAUUGCACCUAGUGAAAAACGUGUACAGAAGAUCUGCUUCAUCCCCAUUCUGAAGGCUUCGCGUGAUCAGCUUCUCAGAGGAGACUCUGUAAGAGAAAAUGACAAAACAAAGAAGGUCACAAUGGAGUUUGAAGAAGCCAUCCCUCAAUGGCUAAGCACAUGCUAAGUACUUCUGGAAGAAAUUCAACGCCAGCGAUGCUCAAUUUGAGGUUUGUCACGUGGCAUUUUGGUACAGGAAGAGCAAACACACUAAGAAAGAAAGUUCCUCAGGCAUGCCUAGAAGGUCAACCUCGAGCUCAUGAUCCUGUUGCUUCAGUCUCCAGAGGCAGCUGGUAUUGCAGGUAUUCACCCCACCACACCUGUUUGCCUGUUGUG